GGUCUUCGUCUUCGAGACUUUCAUGGAUUUAUGUUGAUUUGUUUUGAUAAACAAAAAAAGGGGUCUACGACGAGUGCGUGUUGUUGCUCAGGUGAGUGAUACCAAGGAGAAGGUGAAGUAGAAUGAGGAGAGUGGAAAUGAAGCCUUGGUAGCGGCAUUGCUUCAGAUGAAGGGAAGCUUCUGCCCAAUCCCAAUGCACAAAUUGAUGAACAUGAAUCCCACAAGGCUGCCAAUGAGCUCUAUGCCAUUGGAAGGUACCCCGAUUUGAUGACUUGCCUCAGAAGAGUAAUACAGGCAGUGAUUGUAACAAUGACAACAAGAAUAUUUCCACGUCAUCUUGAGACUGCUGAAUCAGAUUUUGCAGCUGCCAAAACUGAACGUUGUCAAGUAGUGCCUGAUGCCUGGAAUUAAAACCUCCUAAGUUUUAUGGAAAGGGUCUAAAUUGCCUUAGGUAAAUUUUCCUGAUCAUUUACCUUCAUAUUAUUUUCUUCAUAAUUAGUAUAUAUGUUGGAACACAUUUUUAGUUUGGACUAAUGUAUAUCAACAUUAUACUGGGAUAACAUUGUGGAGAGCUGUCUAGAUUGGGUGGCUAUGACAAGGUGUGCUUUUUUUCCACUGAAUGAAGUUACCAUUUUCACAUGCAUUAUUAAUCCAGUGCUAUAUUUUGAAUUACCAUUGUUUUUUGUUUGUUGAAGCUAAUCACACUGGAGCAAUUGUCAAUACCAAUGUAUAGUAACUUGUUAAAAAAAUGCCAACCUACUAGUAAUUUUGGGAAUGGCUUUUUCUUCAACUUUUGUCGUCAAAGAGUAGCUCGGAUUAUUGGAUGUAUUAGUAGUUCUUUUGAUUUCAAGAAGUAAAGUCACAGCUUUGGCAAUGAAAACAAUUCAAAUAUGUUAAGUACAUUCUGGUGAUGAUGUUUUCUGGUUGCAAUUUGUCACAGGACCUAUGUUAGAAAACUUCUUUGACCCUCCUUGCUAUAUGCAUCUUUUAACAUUUAACAUGCUUUACAAACUUUUCUAUUCCUGAUUACUUGGCCAACACGUAGCAGAGAUAUUGUCAAAUUUGAUUCUUUGUAACUAAAAAUUGUAUAAUGGUUUACAUAUAAUAUCAUAAUGAAGAGGAUAUUUACAGAAAUAAGUGAACUGAUGCUCUAAAAUAGUACAAUCAUGACAAUAUGUUUUUUAUUUUAGGUGUUUUCGAAGUAAUUAACUAUAUACCUUUUUCAAUCUGUAGGUACCAUUUUCAGUGUGUGUCUGUGUAGGGUGCUUCCAAAUAUCAAUCUAUCAUUGAACUUCAGAAUUUGACUUGUACUUUUUCUUCAUAUUCUUUCCAUUUUAGGUGUGCCCGUUCACAUACUCCAUGAGUAAUUGUGUUGCACACCCUUGUGGCGAACUUUAUAUUAUAUUACUUGCCCAAAAAAGAAAGAAACAAGCUAUAUAUUAUCAAAAUAAAAAGGUUAAAACUAAGAAAAUAUGCAAGAAAGGUGGAUGCAUUAUUUCCAAUUAUCCAUUAUUAAUCUAAAAAUUCAAUGCAAGUAAAGUUCACUAAAACAAGGUCCAAGGACACAAAAAUUUAAGUUAGGGUUUGUUUCUUGGUAUGUUCUGAUGCCUAUAGAAUUAUGUGCUAUGAGUUAAUUUUCCACACUACUAUUGAAUUAUGACUUAUGAGCCAUUAUUGCAGUUUUCCUCAUUCUUUAGGUAGUUGCUGAAAAUGAUACAUUAUUGUCUUCUCUUUAUGGUUAGUUGACCUCUUGUAAGUUGUGCAACAAGUGGGAGUCUUUCAAACCCCCAAAGUAAGAAACAUGACAUUUGAUCUUGUUUAUCACUAUUGUCCUAUUUUUUCCAUGCCAUUACCAAUAUUGUUAUAAUCUCAUAUACAUGAACUCCAUUAAUUACACAUUGCAAACCAUUUUUUCCUGUUCUUAAUAGUGUAGAUAUUUUCUUCUUGUAUAAAGUAUCCAUAAAUACUCUUAUCCUUUAAUCUGUGAACUUUGAGGACAAGUGAAUCAUUUAACUAGUCACAUGUUAUGUCAAGCAACAAAGUCCCUUUCAACAAGAUUGUGGAAAGAAAAAAAUGAAAAAAAAAAAAAAA
Long non-coding RNA from Quercus lobata, 2091 nucleotides. RefSeq lists it as uncharacterized. The record is from RefSeq and is a predicted model, not a curated record. NCBI's taxonomy places the organism in Eukaryota, Viridiplantae, Streptophyta, Magnoliopsida, Fagales, Fagaceae. The transcript has 2 exons.